RNAcentral lists this ribosomal RNA (1325 nucleotides) under metagenome. RNAcentral describes it as "bacterial LSU rRNA". It matches the Rfam family "Bacterial large subunit ribosomal RNA", at positions 1561 to 2925 of the family's 2925-position model. The record is from RNAcentral.
AGUGGAUGGGGAGCAACCUAGUUGUGCGUGUGUAAAGGUAGUGCCAAGAAAAGCGAUGAUCAUGUUGAAAAUCAAUUCCCGGUACCCGAAACCGACACAGGUGGGCAAGUAGAGAAUACUAAGGGGCGCGAGGUAACUCUCUCCAAGGAACUCGGCAAAAUGACCCCGUAACUUAGGGAGAAGGGGUGCCACCGAGAGGUGGUCGCAGUGAAGAGGCCCAGGCGACUGUUUAGCAAAAACAUAGGUCUCUGCAAACUCGGAAGAGGAGGUAUAGGGGCUGACGCCUGCCCAGUGCCGGAAGGUUAAAGAAGUUGGUCAGUUUUAGGAUGAAGCUAGCGACUGAAGCCCCGGUGAACGGCGGCCGUAACUAUAACGGUCCUAAGGUAGCGAAAUUCCUUGUCGGGUAAGUUCCGACCCGCACGAAAGGCGUAACGAUCUGGGCGCUGUCUCGGAGAGAGGCUCGGCGAAAUAGGAUUGUCUGUGAAGAUACGGACUACCUGCAUUUGGACAGAAAGACCCUAUGAAGCUUUACUAUAGUUUGGAAUUGUGUUCGGGCUUCCUGUGCGCAGGAUAGGUGGGAGGCGUAGAAGGUAUUCUUGUGGGGAUACUGGAGCCAACGGUGAGAUACCACUCUCAGGAGGCUAGAAUUCUAACUUAAUUAAGGACAGUUUCAGGUGGGUAGUUUGACUGGGGCGGUCGCCUCCAAAAAGGUAACGGAGGCGUACAAAGGUUCCCUCAGACUGGUUGGAAAUCAGUCGAAGAGUGCAAAGGCAGAAGGGAGCUUGACUGCGAAAAGUACAGUUCGAGCAGGGUGGAAACACGGUCUUAGUGAUCCGACGGUGCUGUGUGGAAGGGCCGUCGCUCAACGGAUAAAAGUUACUCUAGGAUAACAGGCUGAUCUCCCCCAAGAGUUCACAUCGACGGGGAGGUUUGGCACCUCGAUGUCGGCUCAUCGCAACCUGGGGCGGAAGUACGUCCCAAGGGUUGGGCUGUUCGCCCAUUAAAGCGGUACGUGAGCUGGGUUCAGAACGUCGUGAGACAGUUCGGUCCAUAUCCGAUGUAGGCGUGAGAAUAUUGAGAGGAGCCUUCCUUAGUACGAGAGGACCGGGAAGGACGCACCGCUGGUGUACCUGUUAUGGUGCCAAUUGUAAACGCAGGGUAGCCAAGUGCGGAGAGGAUAACCGCUGAAAGCAUCUAAGUGGGAAGCCCACCUCAAGAUGAGUAUUCUGGUGUAAGGUCACGGGAAGACGACCCGUAAAUAGGCACGAUGUGGAAGUGCAGAGAUGUAUGAAGCCGAAGUGUACUAAUAGACCGUCGGCUUGACC